GAUGAACGCUGACAGAAUGCUUAACACAUGCAAGUCGACUCGAGUCUUCGGACUUGGGUGGCGCACGGGUGAGUAACGCGUAAAGAACUUGCCUCUUAGACCCGGAGAAAUCCGGCCUAAUACCGCGUAUUCUCAAGUUGCUGCAUGGCAGUUUGAGGAAAGAUUUAUUGCUCAGAGAUAGGCAUGCGUUCCAUUAGGUAGUUGGUGAGGUAACAGCUCACCAAGCCGACGAUGGAUAGGGGAGCUGAGAGGCUGACCCCCCACACUGGGACUGAGACACGGCCCAG
RNAcentral lists this ribosomal RNA (287 nucleotides) under uncultured bacterium. RNAcentral's name for it is "partial 16S ribosomal RNA". It matches the Rfam family "Bacterial small subunit ribosomal RNA", at positions 28 to 334 of the family's 1533-position model. The record is from RNAcentral.